This 490-nucleotide ribosomal RNA is filed under the name uncultured bacterium. Its description in RNAcentral is "partial 16S ribosomal RNA". It matches the Rfam family "Bacterial small subunit ribosomal RNA", at positions 30 to 507 of the family's 1533-position model. The record is from RNAcentral.
AUUGAACGCUGGCGGCAGGCCUAACACAUGCCAGUCGAACGGUAACAGGAAGACGCUUGCUUCUUUGCUGACGAGUGGCGGACGGGUGAGUAAUGUCUGGGAAACUGCCUGAUGGAGGGGGAUAACUACUGGAAACGGUAGCUAAUACCGCAUAACGUCGCAAGACCAAAGAGGGGGACCUUCGGGCCUCUUGCCAUCGGAUGUGCCCAGAUGGGAUUAGCUAGUAGGUGGGGUAACGGCUCACCUAGGCGACGAUCCCUAGCUGGUCUGAGAGGAUGACCAGCCACACUGGAACUGAGACACGGUCCAGACUCCUACGGGAGGCAGCAGUGGGGAAUAUUGCACAAUGGGCGCAAGCCUGAUGCAGCCAUGCCGCGUGUAUGAAGAAGGCCUUCGGGUUGUAAAGUACUUUCAGCGGGGAGGAAGGGAGUAAAGUUAAUACCUUUACUCAUUGACGUUACCCGCAGAAGAAGCACCGGCUAACUCCGUG